This 72-nucleotide transfer RNA is filed under the name Cannabis sativa. It matches the Rfam family "tRNA". From Rfam's summary of the family: Transfer RNA (tRNA) molecules are approximately 80 nucleotides in length. Their secondary structure includes four short double-helical elements and three loops (D, anti-codon, and T loops). RNAcentral also lists the same sequence under 1 other name. The record is from Rfam by way of RNAcentral. Lineage: Eukaryota; Viridiplantae; Streptophyta; Magnoliopsida; Rosales; Cannabaceae.
ACCCAACUAGCUCAGCGGUAGAGCUGUCAGUACUUAACUGACUGGUCGUAGGUUCAAUUCCUACUUAGGGUU